UGAGACGACAUUCCGCUUGACAUUUCUUUUCCUUCAAGACGCCGUCCGAGAAGGUUACCUUAGCCAUUGGCUUAUGGCGGGGCAUUUUCUUUCCUCACAUUUUUCACUGUCUGGUGUGAGCUUCUUCAUUGCAUUACGUGCACGUGAUCGCUGCCUCGUCAUGAAGAGGGUCUCUACUAUUUUGCAAGACAACUAAGAUGAAAAGAGGAAAUUUGAAAAGGUUUCCUUGUUCAGUUUAUGAGCUGUUAAUGGUGUUGUCUGGUGUUCAGUUGAGAGAUGCCUUGAGAUGGAUGAUCAACUGCUGCUGAGCCUCUUAGUCAUAGUCUUUUUGGACGCGGAGAAUGGAGACGCUGGCCGAGUACGUUUAACUUGGCCAUUGCAGGCAACUUUCUCUCUUGACAUGGGAUCAUGGCUUGUAACUUAAACUUGCAUGGUUAAUUGCUAAUGGUCUGCUGUUCAUUUUCUCCAAAAUGUCAUCUCUUGGUUUAUGUUGCACGUUUCGUCACAUUCAGUACUUUAGAAUAUCUUGUGGAGUUUAAAAGCUUCUUUAUUGCUUUACGUGUACGUGGUCAUUGCCGUUUAAUGAAAGUUCUCUAAGAGGGUCUACUACAUUGCAAGACAACAUCGUGAUGGAAAUAGGAAAUCUAAAAUGGAAAAGUAAUAAUUUAAAUCAUGGAAAUCUUAAGUGUAUGAUCGCCUUAACUGUUAAGUUUCCAUGGUCAGUUUGAUGUUUGAGCUGGUUUGCUGUGGCUGUUUGGUGUGCAGUGAUCUUGCAGGAGAAAUGCGUUAAAAAGGGAUUAAGUGCCGCAACAAGUUGGCAACAUGGCAAUCUUAUGCUACUGAGCCUGACGCCGUCUUCUAAGGAAACUGUCAGUUACAUUGUUCGUGCGGUCGACUUCAAAAUUCUUCACAAAUAUCUCAAAGGAUUAAUGGUUUGGUGAGACUGAGCUUUUUCAUGGUGGUCGAAAGUUCACAUGGAGCCAACUGGUGAAGGGUGUGGUGAGGUGUUACAUCAUGACUGUGCUGGUGUGGGGAAGUGCUGCAUGCCAUCUGUGGUGUUGGUAUGAAAUAUUUUUAUUGC
This 1081-nucleotide long non-coding RNA is filed under the name Daphnia pulicaria. Its description in RNAcentral is "uncharacterized LOC124311562, transcript variant X2". The record is from RNAcentral. Lineage: Eukaryota; Metazoa; Arthropoda; Branchiopoda; Diplostraca; Daphniidae.